UACGUAGGGGGCUAGCGUUGUCCGGAAUCAUUGGGCGUAAAGAGCGUGUAGGCGGUCCGGUAAGUCCGCUGUGAAAGUCGGGGGCUCAACCCUCGAAUGCCGGUGGAUACUGUCGGACUAGAGUACGGAAGAGGCGAGUGGAAUUCCUGGUGUAGCGGUGAAAUGCGCAGAUAUCAGGAGGAACACCGGUGGCGAAGGCGGGUCUCUGGGCCGAUACUGACGCUGAGGAGCGAAAGCGUGGGGAGCGAACAGG
Molecule: ribosomal RNA, 253 nt
Filed under: uncultured bacterium
Lineage: Bacteria
Description: partial 16S ribosomal RNA
Rfam family: Bacterial small subunit ribosomal RNA
Source: RNAcentral